GGUCAGUAAGGUGAGUCUGGUGGAUCUGGCGGGCAGUGAGCGAGCGGAUUCAUCCGGAGCCAAAGGCAUGAGAUUAAAGGAAGGUGCGAAUAUCAAUAAAUCUCUCACCACGCUGGGGAAAGUCAUCUCCGCUCUGGCUGAAAUG
Sinocyclocheilus rhinocerous is the source of this 145-nucleotide long non-coding RNA. RefSeq lists it as uncharacterized. NCBI's taxonomy places the organism in Eukaryota, Metazoa, Chordata, Actinopteri, Cypriniformes, Cyprinidae. The transcript has 2 exons. The record is from RefSeq and is a predicted model, not a curated record.